UCUUUUUUAACUAUUUUUGCUUGCUAUUAUAAAUGAGACUUUUCUCGUAUUUCUAACAGGCUAUUGCUUGUGUACAUAAAGACUAAUAAUUUCUAACUGCUAAUUUUAUAACCUUCUCCUUCACUAAAUUCCCAUAGAUAAAAACAAUUUUUUCUAUGUGUACUCCUCAUCCCUCAUCCUGUAUAUUAUCUCAUUUUUUGCAUGUUAAAUUAUGUUAACUACCAAAUGUUUAAUGCUCUCAUUGUGAGAGCAUAUUCUUAAUAUUUAUUGAGCUCCCUGACUUUUCAAGAUUGCCAUAGAAUAUAGUUUCGGAUGUUAAUGCUAGUUGAGAGAAGAGAGAACAAAUAGCAAGUAGAAGCAGAGAAGAGGAUCACUGGAAGGGACCUGAGAAAUUGCCACUUCAUCCAUUUUAGCAAACUUUUUACAAUUAAGUUAUUAUUGACUAUAGUCACCCUGUUGUGCUAUCAAAUUCUAAGUCUAAUCCAUUCUUUCUAUUAUUUUUGUACCC
This 508-nucleotide long non-coding RNA is filed under the name Pan troglodytes (chimpanzee). Its description in RNAcentral is "long non-coding RNA NONPTRT015753". Lineage: Eukaryota; Metazoa; Chordata; Mammalia; Primates; Hominidae. The record is from RNAcentral.